GAUGAACGCUGGCGGCGUGCCUAAUACAUGCAAGUCGAACGCGCAGCGAGAGGUGCUUGCACCUUUCAAGCGAGUGGCGAACGGGUGAGUAACACGUGGAUAACCUGCCUCAAGGCUGGGGAUAACAUUUGGAAACAGAUGCUAAUACCGAAUAAAACUUAGUAUCGCAUGAUAUAAAGUUAAAAGGCGCUACGGCGUCACCUAGAGAUGGAUCCGCGGUGCAUUAGUUAGUUGGUGGGGUAAAGGCUUACCAAGACAAUGAUGCAUAGCCGAGUUGAGAGACUGAUCGGCCACAUUGGGACUGAGACACGGCCCAAACUCCUACGGGAGGCUGCAGUAGGGAAUCUUCCACAAUGGGCGCAAGCCUGAUGGAGCAACGCCGCGUGUGUGAUGAAGGCUUUCGGGUCGUAAAGCACUGUUGUAUGGGAAGAAAUGCUAAAAUAGGGAAUGAUUUUAGUUUGACGGUACCAUACCAGAAAGGGACGGCUAAAUACGUGCCAGCAGCCGCUGUAA
This 513-nucleotide ribosomal RNA is filed under the name uncultured bacterium. RNAcentral's name for it is "partial 16S ribosomal RNA". It matches the Rfam family "Bacterial small subunit ribosomal RNA", at positions 28 to 523 of the family's 1533-position model. The record is from RNAcentral.